AAUCAUUAUUAUUAUUAUUUUAACAACACUUCACAAUAUAAAAUUGGGUGGAUUCACGCGACGAAAAGCACACACUAUUAGAUUAGCAUAAUACAAUGCUAACCGCUAACCAGCUUUUGUCAACAUGUUUCUCUUUCAGCUGACGAAUACCGCGCUAACUACAUUAAUCUGAGCCUGCCAGGCGAAUGCAUGUCCUGAAGUUAACGGAGAUCGAGAUGGAGGUGGGCGCUAAUAUGGCUGACAACCGUGAAUAUACACAGACUGACUCGGACUGCUCCAGAAGCCGAGUCGACUCACGAUUCAGCGUUUGGGAAAAUGAACAAUGGACUGUAAAACCGAUACUUAACUUAGUUAUCCUAUUCUGUAAAAAUAUAUAAAGGAUCAUUUGUGGUG
This is a long non-coding RNA of Misgurnus anguillicaudatus (oriental weatherfish), 393 nucleotides long. RefSeq lists it as uncharacterized. Lineage: Eukaryota; Metazoa; Chordata; Actinopteri; Cypriniformes; Cobitidae. The record is from RefSeq and is a predicted model, not a curated record.